This is a long non-coding RNA of Peromyscus leucopus (white-footed mouse), 733 nucleotides long. RefSeq lists it as uncharacterized. The transcript has 3 exons. NCBI's taxonomy places the organism in Eukaryota, Metazoa, Chordata, Mammalia, Rodentia, Cricetidae. The record is from RefSeq and is a predicted model, not a curated record.
ACAAGCCUGGUCGCUGCGGAAACGGGCAAUGAGGUCGGACAGCAGGGCUCUGAUGGCUUUGGGGAAGGGAUGGAGGGGCUAGUGUUUGCAGAAUGGAGCCUGAAAGCUAUUAAGAGGUGACACAUGGAAGGCAAAUGUAGCCAGCCAGCUUCCCCAAACAGGGAGAAGGCUGGGACUGCGAUUCAGACAAAGUGGAUUAGCGGCCCCUGCCUGAGCCGCGCCCCGCCCAGAGCCAGCGCUGCACCCCGGAGCCUGAUUGCCUAUUCUGAGCUGGUUCAACUCGUAAUUUGUUGGCUCAAAGAAAGAGCUGGAGAGAAGAGAGUGAGGAAGAGAAGAGGCUCAGAUCCCAUAGGGGAAUGCCUAUCAAGCAGCAAUGGAGGCUCCUGGCUUUAGAACUGGCAAGUGAGGAAAGUUCUCAAGAGUCCAUCUGUGAUCUCAGCACUCAAGAGGGAGGGCCAGGAAGACUGAUACAGCCAGCCUGGGCCUGUAGAGAGAAAUAAAAGGGAUGGGCAACAGACACACAGAGAUUCUAACACCCUGAAGCUGAGACCAAGCAUCCUGCUUCUCGAGCAUGAGGAUGGAGCCAGGGCAGAGUUCUACCUUCCCCAGCAGCUCAGUCCACAGAGUGGAGAACUUGAAGAUUCAAGGUAAACAGCUCCUGCCAAAGGCCUCCACUUGACCCUCUUUGUAAACCUAAGAUUGUAAGUAAACCCUCAAUUAACCUCUUCUCCCA